Neopelma chrysocephalum (saffron-crested tyrant-manakin) is the source of this 6089-nucleotide long non-coding RNA. RefSeq lists it as uncharacterized. The record is from RefSeq and is a predicted model, not a curated record. Lineage: Eukaryota; Metazoa; Chordata; Aves; Passeriformes; Pipridae. The transcript is spliced from 3 exons.
ACAUCUCCAGGGCUUCUUCCUUUUUCCUUAAUUCACACAUGCUGACUAUGUGAAAGAAUGAAUAGCUUAAAACCUGAUAUCCCUGAUAUCUCAGGGAUAUCCCCCUUAGACUGGAGAUAUCCUGGUAUCAUCAAGUUCUGCCCUGAUAAAAUUACUGAAUAAAAAUAGUGAAAAUAUUUGGGGGAACCUGAAUGUGCAGUAGACUCAUCUAGAUGUUUCACUUUUGACCACAAGUCUUGGGAUUAAAGCAUCUCUGGUUGAUCCCUGUAGCUGCUGACCUUUAGUGAACAACUGCUUAAAGUUCUCCUUCAGCAGUUGGGCAGAUCUAAGGAGACAGGAGAAAAAACCCCAAGCAAACAACAAAAAACCAAUAUUAAAAAGAUUGUCAAAGACAGCAGAAAUAAAACCACCUUUUAAAUCACUAAACUUAUUCCUAUUAAUUGUGCAUGAUGCUGUGCUGUAUAAAUAUAAUCUUCCUCAAGCUUCAGCCAGUAUCACCAAACACACAAUAACGUUAGGUUUUUCCCUCCUCAGGGAGAAUGACAGGCUUUGUUCAUGCCACAGCCUCAUUGCCACAGUCUGCAAACCUCCCAGUGUAGAAGUGCCACUGCAAAUAGCGUAAGAGUCACAGCUGCCCUGUCCCUCAGAGAUCAUGGUGUUCCCACAGAAACCAGCACUCCCAUGCUUAUGUCCAAACCAUGCAACACUUUGUAAUAGAAAAUAAAUACUUUUUACAGCACUCAGAAGCAAAUAGUGAUCCUGUAAGAUUCUUGUACAUUUGGGUCAAAUGUUUUUUAAAAAAUUGAGAAAGACAUAACAAGCAGUUUGGGGAGUGGUGUAAACUGGAAUGUAUCAGGUUCCCUAAUGCUGCACGUUUCAGAUUUCCACUGAAGAAGAUGUCAGUCUCAGAUGAACCAAUGAAAGAUUGUGUAUCCAGUGAUCAGACUUUGCUUCAGCUCUAGGUUGUUAGUCUCUCCUAGAAUCCAGCUGUUUUUUUUUAGUAUGGAGAAUAAAGACACAAAGAAUAAAGAUGACCACUAAAUUACAGCAGAGCAAAACUCGUACUCUCUUAACACACUGAAUCUCAAUAAAUAUUUCUGCUAAAUAUAUAAGGAAAAUUACUCCAGUGAUAUCUCAGGAAGUAAUUAUACUUCAUUACCUUUGUAGGAGUAGCAAGGUUCAAGCCUGGUAUAGUUUGUUUUUAUUUUUCCCUAAAAAAGACAUAAUCAUAAAAUAAAAACCAAAAUCCUUGAACAGCACAAAAGUGAAAGGGGAAUAACAUCUUUAAUUUCAUAAACCUCUGUCUAACCAAGGGGUUUAAAACAAUAAACAAUUCUAGUCCACAUUGUUGAAGCUCAGCAGAAUAAAAUGAAUCCAGAAGGUUUUGUAUGUUCAUAACUUCAUUCCUGGUGAUGAAAAGGCAGAUACCAGAUCAGGUAACCUUUUUCCCUAGAGGCAUUUUGCUGCCUUUUGAGUAGGUAUCAACAGUGGUUCGGUAUUUACAGUUUCCAUGUCUCUGCUGGCAAAUAGGAAUAGUGAUCCUGACAUCUUUCACAAAGCAUUGUGAGCCCUGUGGAUAAAAAGCAUCAUCAAAGAGCUUGGUGGUGUUAUGGUUCAAUAAUUCUCUUGCAGCUCUGCUUAUAGCCCUCAUUGUGGAGCAAGUGCCAAAGGAAUGACACAAUGGUUACAGUCAAGAACUUUGGGUUGGGGCUUCAUUAGUUAUUGCCUGUAAAGAAACACUCUCAAUAGCAUGAAGCACUACAAUCAUUAAAACAGUGUUCAGGAAAAGCCCUCAUUCCUAUUUUUAGCACUAACUGGUGGGGAAAUUGUGCAUUCAUCAGCUGUUGAAGCUACAUGGCCGAGUAUUGUCACUAUUUAUAUCUGCUCUGAAAACAAAGAAGCAGGAGGAUUUUUUUCCCAGCUAAGUACAUUGUGCAGUAAAAGAGUUCAGCUUUCCCUAGGCAAGGUGCAUAAAGCCUGCCAGACGCGGAGAGAAGCUGUCUCCAAAUAGGGAACAAAGGUUUUACAACCAUAUUCUAUCCUCAUACUUUAGAAACCCAGUAAAUUUCAUGGGAGUAAAAAGGUUUUCUGCAGCCCUACCUGUUCUUUUUGUAUAAAUCUGGAUACAGUUUUGGGUUUUCAGAGGUGUGUAACUUCCUGAUUGGAUAUAAAGUUCUUUCAAGUGUCUUUAGAGGUAUUAAGCCAUAAAUCUAUUUUUGGCUGAAGAUUUCAGGAUAUCCUAAGGGAAAAAAAAAUUAAAAUUACAAUAUUUUUUUUUAGUUUCUACUGCUGCCUCCCCUAAAUAUAUAAACAGAUACAAAAGAUUUGAUCAGACAACGCUGACCAAAUCUGUGACUACCAUGACAUUCCAAAUCAGUACUGAAAUUGGCAGUAAAUUCUUGUCUACAAUCUGCUUAACGUGCACACAUAAAGAUGAGAAGGUAGAUGGUUGUUUUAGCUGGGUAGGUUCUUUGGAAUGUGGAAUGGACCAGUUCUUUUAUAAAAUUGAGUUAUUAUUUAGGUAGGAGUGAACAGGAAGGUAGAAGAUAAUACUGCAUGAAUAAUAGAAAGAGUUAAAUUUGAUGUGAAAAAAGGUGGAAUUUAAUCUUGUAGAAAAAAAGAGACAUUAAAAGCAUGAGUAUCAAAUGGUAAGCAAAUGAAAACAUGCUGUUUUCAUGUCCAGAACUACAGCUAUCAGAAUGAACAAGAAAGAGAAUGAAUAUGGGAUGUUGAAGGGUUCUGAGAUGACAUACAUGUGUAUGCACACACACACGUGUGUAUACAUAUAUGUAUAAAAAAAAAAAUCACCUACUUAAUCACACCAUGGAGGUGGUGGUUGUGGUAACAAACUAGAACCUCCAGGUAUUUAGCAUGGUUGAUAUUGUCUCUAGUUACAGUUACAUUACCUCCAGCAGAGCUGGGGAGGGAGCAAGACUGGGAGAGAUGUUGCUACACUGUGCGUACAUUAAAGUAGGAAAUUUUAGGGCCAAGGAAGGCCCAUGGGAGUUUGGGGCAAAACAUUCUGUCUGCUGUGACUCAAAUUCAAGGGUACAGUUACGACACGUUUUAAUUUGAAGUAAGCAGUGGAGCUUUUGGACACAGACAACUGUGUUGAUUAGUUUUAGAGAUUUUCUACAACCAACAUACUCUGUAGGCUUGAUAGAGAACUGGGGACACCCAAGACAGACUACACUACGUAUUGUGAAGGCCCUUAAAUAAACUUUUUGUGCUGAUACAAUCUCCUAAGUGGCCACAUAGUUAAGACUCUUGAUUUUUGAAAAUAUACAUAAUACAAAAAGAUUUCAAGGGUAACGAUCAUCCCGAACAAAUUCGAGAGCUGAAGUUAUUACCUUCAUUCUCAGAAUCAGCUGUUGGCACCUUUAUUGGCUUCUCCACAAACUGAUCUAAAAAUGUGAGGUGCAUCUGAAAAGAGAUGAGAGUUUUCAAUAUUCUGUUACAAAUAGUGCACCACCAGAAUCUUGAGUAAAUUCCUGAUUGUGGUUAACAGGCAGUUCUGAACAAAGGGUCCUCACAACAGGGAUGGAAAGAUAUAACAUGGUGGGUUAUUGCUUUGCAGAGUAAUACACAGUAUGGUUAGGCUUCCUAAGAACUGUUUCAUCUAAAUUUCAGUGUGUUUAGAAGUUGCUUCUAGACUCAUAAAAUCCUAGAAAUAGGGAUUAGUAGGCAGAAAAAGUAGUAUAGGUAGAGUAUUAUGCUAACAGUGCAGAAUUGUUCCUAGAAUAUAUUUUCUAGUGUUAGGAGUGGGGGUGCUUCAACCUACUUAAAUGUUUUUAGGCCUGAGGCUUCUACUGCUUCCCUUAGGAGAUUGUUCUAGAGUCUAUUAGAAUUCACCACUAGAAAGCUUUUCCUGAAAAUGAAUUUAAAUAAUCCUUUUUGUAAUUUUUAUCUCAUUAGUCCCAGUUAUACCCUUUUGCACCACUCUAAAUAAUUCCUCUAACCAUGAUUUAUAUCCUUUGAAUAUUUUUAGAUAGUUAUCAAGUUCAUUGCCUUUGCUCAUUUAUUAGAGAUGCUGUGAAUCCCUCCUUGUCCCAGUUCAUUCCUUCAGUCUCAUAUUUCUUACCUUUUCAUGAAACAUCAUUAAUACAAAAACUAAGCCCUUGGAAUUUCCUUACAUUAGUCACGGUCAGUUCACUCUGUUAAGUGCUCUGUGUUGGUGUGUGUCACUGGUUGUCAAAGGUUAAACAAUAAAUUGAAACUUGAUUUUUUAAAAAAAUCUUUUCUGUAAUCUAUGGAUAAGUUCUCAUUAUAUGAAUUUGGCAGUGUCUUUUAUAUCGGCAUGAUUUGACAAAGCCAACCAAUAAAUGCUGGAGCCAACCAAACAAUAAUACAAAGUUGUAAUUUGUUAAAAAUGAGAUUGCUAUCAUUAUUGUAAAACCAGACAGUGUCAUUCAAGUGCCCAUGCUUUUAAGUCUCCCUACACUAAACUAUCAUGAAUACGUUCAUUUAAGACAGAUUGUGUUGCUUCUCCUCAAAUCUCAUUGGUAGAAUGCACCUGCUUUCUAAAACAAGUACUCAAGAUUUCCAGCCAUGUGCUAACUGCUGCAAAGAAAUAGAAUUGUGCCAGCUCUUCUGAUUACUGCCAAGCAUUAUAUUGCAAAUUUGUGAUGCAUUUAUGGUCUCUGACUGGCAUGAUGACUAGAUGGUUCAUUUGCAAGCAUGCCUCAAGCAAACCUCUGUUCUCUGGCUCAGAACCCUGAUCACUCAGGCAAGCAGGAAGGAUGUACACAGUCAGCUUGGGUCUUUUAAUUGAUCUGUUUCCUCCUUCUGCUCCUGCCUUGUGCACCUGGAAGCCAACCCAAAACUGAAAUCCUUGUGCUCAAAGACCCACUGCAUCACUAAGACCCGAGGGAAAUAAAACCAUUGUCCUCAUUUGCUCUGUCUACAAGGGCUGGUGUGAAAGGGAGAGCAGGAACACAAAGGCUUCCAGUGGGGACUUUGGGGAACUCUACACUUCCCUCAGCACAUCUUUGUCCCCAGUAGGUGUCAAUCAGCAUUGUGCAAACUAUAUUGUAGGAAGAGAUAAAUUGCCAUCUUCUUGGUCACUUGCCACUUCUCUGCUCACCUUUCCAAAACGAGCCAUUGCUCAAAGAGUAACCGAAGUCUAAUAGACUUAGUGGGAAGAUGAAUGAGCCUUGUAAGGUGAGGAGGCUGCAACAAAAAGGGAGAGAGAAAAGAAGAGUAAUUCCUGAGCAAGGAACUGUAAAACAUGACUUAAAAUGUGAGGAGCAGCAGAGCAGGAAUCAGACAUUCACCCUGAGUAUUGCUGCAGUUUGGUGAAAGGGGUUGUUCUAAUUAAAAUUAACCAUAUAGUUAUUAAAACUUUUAUAUGUUACUGAGAGUGUGGGAUUUUGAAGAGUGAGAAAUUCUCAUCAUGCUGAAUGUAACAGCUGUGCUCUAGUUGGCUGGGACAAUUCUAUUUCAUAUUUCAUCAUAGCUUGACAGUAAAAGUGAUACUUAUCUGCCUGCAAAAAUGUAGAACAGUUCAUCACUUCCCAGAUUGCUUCCAUGUUGGUGUAUUAGUUCUUGUUGAGGAGCAGUAACUGCAGUUGGUAGCAUGUAUUUUGUAGCUUGGGAUUGCUUCCUAGCAGUCCAAUUUCUGUGUAGUUGUGGCCACUUCUAUUGAUAAUAAAAAUAUACCAGAGAAGGGAUUCAAAUAAAGAUAUGCUGUAUGGUUGUGACUCCUUAAAUAUGUCUCAAACCAACAGACUCUUCAGUUCAGGAGAGAUGCUCUUAUAUGAAAUAUUUUAAUGUUUAUGUGAAACAACCAUAAACCACAUCUUGAAAUGUCUUGUUGCAGAUGCUAACUGCAUUUCUGAAAGCAUGAAUCUAUACCAUUUAUGCAGUAUGAUGAAUUAAAUGACUAUAUGCAAUUAAAAAGGUGAAUAUGAAAUUAUUUUUGAACAGAUACAAAUCUGCUGUGUAAAAAAAACCCCAACCCUUUCUAUAUGAAAAUGUACAGUAAAUUUUGACACAUAAUACAGUACAUGGAACCUAACUUUACAUAUAGUGGGAAGAAGUUGUACAAAACCCCUUCCAUGGCAUAGUGGUGUCUUUCAAAAAGCCAUGUC